GCAGCGGGCCGUCUCAUCGUUCUCUUCUGAGCGAAAUCGAAGAGGGGGAAGGAAAGUCCGGUCAACACAGAGCACCAUGCUUCCUAACGGGAAGAUAUCCGUGAGGGUAUAGUAGUGUAACAGAAAAUAACCGCCCUGAGCGUUGUCGAAGGGAAAGGGUGAAAAGGUGAGGUAAGAGCUUACCGGUCCCGGUGGUAACACCGGGAGCCGUACACCUUAUGGGUUGAAAGACCAUGUAUACCGGCAAUAAGGGCUGCUCGUCCGAUGCCGGGGGGUAGGUCGUAUGAUCCCUGCAGUGAUGGAGGGACAAGAUAAAUGAUGGGAACCGGUUUUUAUUUCUCGCGAAGAAGAUAAAACCGUACAGAAACCGGCUUACAGGCCAGCUGCAAAA
RNAcentral lists this RNase P RNA (391 nucleotides) under Bacteroidetes bacterium GWA2_40_15. Its description in RNAcentral is "RNase P RNA component class A". It matches the Rfam family "Bacterial RNase P class A". Rfam says of the family: Ribonuclease P (RNase P) is a ubiquitous endoribonuclease, found in archaea, bacteria and eukarya as well as chloroplasts and mitochondria. Its best characterised activity is the generation of mature 5'-ends of tRNAs by cleaving the 5'-leader elements of precursor-tRNAs. The record is from RNAcentral. RNAcentral also lists the same sequence under 4 other names. Lineage: Bacteria; Pseudomonadati; Bacteroidota.